AAUCCAUAGGUUAAUGAGGCGAACCGGGGGAACUGAAACAUCUAAGUACCCCGAGGAAAAGAAAUCAACCGAGAUUCCCCCAGUAGCGGCGAGCGAACGGGGAGGAGCCCAGAGCCUGAAUCAGCAUGUGUGUUAGUGGAAGCGUCUGGAAAGGCGCGCGAUACAGGGUGACAGCCCCGUACACAAAAGCGCAUGUGCUGUGAGCUCGAUGAGUAGGGCGGGACACGUGGUAUCCUGUCUGAAUAUGGGGGGACCAUCCUCCAAGGCUAAAUACUCCUGACUGACCGAUAGUGAACCAGUACCGUGAGGGAAAGGCGAAAAGAACCCCGGCGAGGGGAGUGAAAAAGAACCUGAAACCGUGUACGUACAAGCAGUGGGAGCACAGGUUUACCUGUGUGACUGCGUACCUUUUGUAUAAUGGGUCAGCGACUUAUAUUCUGUAGCAAGGUUAACCGAAUAGGGGAGCCGGAGGGAAACCGAGUCUUAAUUGGGCGUUAAGUUGCAGGGUAUAGACCCGAAACCCGGUGAUCUAGCCAUGGGCAGGUUGAAGGUUGGGUAACACUAACUGGAGGACCGAACCGACUAAUGUUGAAAAAUUAGCGGAUGACCUGUGGCUGGGGGUGAAAGGCCAAUCAAACCGGGAGAUAGCUGGUUCUCCCCGAAAGCUAUUUAGGUAGCGCCUCGUGAAUUCAUCUCCGGGGGUAGAGCACUGUUUCGGCUAGGGGGCCAUCCCGGCUUACCAACCCGAUGCAAACUGCGAAUACCGGAGAAUGUUAUCACGGGAGACACACGGCGGGUGCUAACGUCCGUCGUGAAGAGGGAAACAACCCAGACCGCCAGCUAAGGUCCCAAAGUCAUGGUUAAGUGGGAAACGAUGUGGGAAGGCCCAGACAGCCAGGAUGUUGGCUUAGAAGCAGCCAUCAUUUAAAGAAAGCGUAAUAGCUCACUGGUCGAGUCGGCCUGCGCGGAAGAUGUAACGGGGCUAAACCAUGCACCGAAGCUGCGGCAGCGACACUGUGUGUUGUUGGGUAGGGGAGCGUUCUGUAAGCCUGUGAAGGUGUGUCGUGAGGCAUGCUGGAGGUAUCAGAAGUGCGAAUGCUGACAUAAGUAACGAUAAAGCGGGUGAAAAGCCCGCUCGCCGGAAGACCAAGGGUUCCUGUCCAACGUUAAUCGGGGCAGGGUGAGUCGACCCCUAAGGCGAGGCCGAAAGGCGUAGUCGAUGGGAAACGGGUUAAUAUUCCCGUACUUGGUGUUACUGCGAAGGGGGGACGGAGAAGGCUAUGUUGGCCGGGCGACGGUUGUCCCGGUUUAAGCGUGUAGGUGUGUGUUCCAGGUAAAUCCGGUUCACUUUAACACUGAGGCGUGACGACGAGGCACUACGGUGCUGAAGCAACAAAUGCCCUGCUUCCAGGAAAAGCCUCUAAGCAUCAGGUAACAUCAAAUCGUACCCCAAACCGACACAGGUGGUCAGGUAGAGAAUACCAAGGCGCUUGAGAGAACUCGGGUGAAGGAACUAGGCAAAAUGGUGCCGUAACUUCGGGAGAAGGCACGCUGACACGUAGGUGAAGUGAUUUACUCAUGGAGCUGAAGUCAGUCGAAGAUACCAGCUGGCUGCAACUGUUUAUUAAAAACACAGCACUGUGCAAACACGAAAGUGGACGUAUACGGUGUGACGCCUGCCCGGUGCCGGAAGGUUAAUUGAUGGGGUCAGCGCAAGCGAAGCUCCUGAUCGAAGCCCCGGUAAACGGCGGCCGUAACUAUAACGGUCCUAAGGUAGCGAAAUUCCUUGUCGGGUAAGUUCCGACCUGCACGAAUGGCGUAAUGAUGGCCAGGCUGUCUCCACCCGAGACUCAGUGAAAUUGAACUCGCUGUGAAGAUGCAGUGUACCCGCGGCAAGACGGAAAGACCCCGUGAACCUUUACUAUAGCUUGACACUGAACAUUGAGCCUUGAUGUGUAGGAUAGGUGGGAGGCUUUGAAGUGUGGACGCCAGUCUGCAUGGAGCCGACCUUGAAAUACCACCCUUUAAUGUUUGAUGUUCUAACGUGGACCCGUUACCCGGGUUGCGGACAGUGUCUGGUGGGUAGUUUGACUGGGGCGGUCUCCUCCUAAAGAGUAACGGAGGAGCACGAAGGUUGGCUAAUCCUGGUCGGACAUCAGGAGGUUAGUGCAAUGGCAUAAGCCAGCUUGACUGCGAGCGUGACGGCGCGAGCAGGUGCGAAAGCAGGUCAUAGUGAUCCGGUGGUUCUGAAUGGAAGGGCCAUCGCUCAACGGAUAAAAGGUACUCCGGGGAUAACAGGCUGAUACCGCCCAAGAGUUCAUAUCGACGGCGGUGUUUGGCACCUCGAUGUCGGCUCAUCACAUCCUGGGGCUGAAGUAGGUCCCAAGGGUAUGGCUGUUCGCCAUUUAAAGUGGUACGCGAGCUGGGUUUAGAACGUCGUGAGACAGUUCGGUCCCUAUCUGCCGUGGGCGCUGGAGAACUGAGGGGGGCUGCUCCUAGUACGAGAGGACCGGAGUGGACGCAUCACUGGUGUUCGGGUUGUCAUGCCAAUGGCACUGCCCGGUAGCUAAAUGCGGAAGAGAUAAGUGCUGAAAGCAUCUAAGCACGAAACUUGCCCCGAGAUGAGUUCUCCCUGAGACUUAAAGUCUCCUGAAGGAACGUUGAAGACGACGACGUUGAUAGGCCGGGUGUGUAAGCGCAGCGAUGCGUUGAGCUAACCGGUACUAAUGAACCGUGAGGCUUAACCUUACAACGCCGAAG
Molecule: ribosomal RNA, 2760 nt
Filed under: Salmonella enterica subsp. enterica serovar Enteritidis
Lineage: Bacteria; Pseudomonadati; Pseudomonadota; Gammaproteobacteria; Enterobacterales; Enterobacteriaceae
Description: partial 23S ribosomal RNA
Rfam family: Bacterial large subunit ribosomal RNA
Source: RNAcentral